RNAcentral lists this long non-coding RNA (827 nucleotides) under Equus caballus (horse). Its description in RNAcentral is "lncRNA (ENSECAG00000055027.1)". Lineage: Eukaryota; Metazoa; Chordata; Mammalia; Perissodactyla; Equidae. The record is from RNAcentral.
CAUGAGCCUGUGAUGAGGCCAAAGUGAACCCGUGCAGAGCGCCCUCCCUGCCACCAAGGCCACCUGGAGAGCCAGCAGAGUAGACCCCUGUGACUGGAGAGGGGGCAGAGUGACACCCCCAGAGCAGCCUGCCUGACCUCCACAGGCUGUGUCUGGAACAGCAGUAGGCCCACUGGAACCUCCACCGACAUGGUUGAGGAUAAUCUACUCACUGAGGAGUUACGGCAGCCUGCAAAGCCCUUUCCCGGGACGCUCCAUGCCUGCACCGAUUUCUAUGCCAGUCAGUGUUCUUAGCUGCAAACAACGGAACCAGCUCUCGUGUUGUGCAGAAAAGGGAUCUACGGCAGCUCACAGGCUGCCUGGGAAGGGUAGACAGCCAGGCUGCGGACUGAGCAAGAGGCAGGGAAGGCAGAUCAGCAUGGAUCCAGAGCGUGGGAAAAUAGACUCCACGUCCUGAUGGGAGGAGCUGCCAUUUGAAAUGGGCUGUAGCCAGGAGGCUGAGGACAGCUGGACUCAGAUAGAUUGGAAGUGAAGCCACCAACACCCCUGCCAUGGACGUGUCGUUGUCCAUGGGCCACGCCUUCCCCAUGCUGCUGCUGCUGUUUUACCGCCCCUAGCGAGCAUUCUGAACCGUUCCUGCCUCGCUGAGCCCUGUGCUGCAGGCUCGAGGCCCUGAGAGGUCGUCGGAGAGCAGCAACCGGGGCUUUAGGCUCUCACGGGCCAGGUUUCCCAAGCGCAGGAAGGAGGUUCAGAUACACUGAGGAAUAAAUACCCUACGGGCCCUCCAUAGAGGGGACUAUUACACAGCCAUUCAAAAGGACUUUGUG